This 484-nucleotide ribosomal RNA is filed under the name uncultured bacterium. RNAcentral's name for it is "partial 16S ribosomal RNA". It matches the Rfam family "Bacterial small subunit ribosomal RNA", at positions 30 to 507 of the family's 1533-position model. The record is from RNAcentral.
AUUGAACGCUGGCGGCAGGCCUAACACAUGCAAGUCGAGCGGAUGAGGGGAGCUUGCUCCUGGAUUCAGCGGCGGACGGGUGAGUAAUGCCUAGGAAUCUGCCUGGUAGUGGGGGAUAACGUCCGGAAACGGGCGCUAAUACCGCAUACGUCCUGAGGGAGAAAGUGGGGGAUCUUCGGACCUCACGCUAUCAGAUGAGCCUAGGUCGGAUUAGCUAGUUGGUGGGGUAAAGGCCUACCAAGGCGACGAUCCGUAACUGGUCUGAGAGGAUGAUCAGUCACACUGGAACUGAGACACGGUCCAGACUCCUACGGGAGGCAGCAGUGGGGAAUAUUGGACAAUGGGCGAAAGCCUGAUCCAGCCAUGCCGCGUGUGUGAAGAAGGUCUUCGGAUUGUAAAGCACUUUAAGUUGGGAGGAAGGGCAGUAAGUUAAUACCUCGCUGUUUUAACGUUACCAACAGAAUAAGCACCGGCUAACUUCGUG